This is an RNA transcript of Cydia strobilella, 822 nucleotides long. It is a transcript of the gene named transcription initiation factor TFIID subunit 13, with no coding region annotated. The transcript is spliced from 6 exons. NCBI's taxonomy places the organism in Eukaryota, Metazoa, Arthropoda, Insecta, Lepidoptera, Tortricidae. The record is from RefSeq and is a predicted model, not a curated record.
ACGUCAAGUCAAUAUUGUUAUUAUUCGAUAUCGCCAAAUCGUCGUAUUAUAGUCGCGGUCGCUGUUCAAGCCAUAGAAAAUAAUUUUUUAGCUAUACUUGUAAACACAACAACCUACUUAAUUCGUUAAAACAAAAUAUAUCUUAACGAAAGAAGAUUUUCGACGAUACACAAUUACACACCGCAGUGUUGUUGUUAAGAAAGGCUUCGAAGAUUGUACAGAAAAUUCCUUUUGAAAACGACUUAUAACAGACAAAUUUAUUAAAAUGGCUACACCUACUCCUGAUGCUCCUGAAAAUUUCGACCAGUUUGAUGAUGAUGAAUCCGAGCAGCAACUGGGUUCAACAGGCUCCGGCCGGAAGAGACUCUUCAGCAAAGAGCUGCGUUGCAUGAUGUAUGGGUUUGGGGAUGACCAGAAUCCUUACACGGAGAGUGUAGACUUUUUGGAGGAUUUGGUUAUUGAAUUUAUUACGGAAACCACACACAGAGCAAUGGAGGUAGGAAGAACAGGGAGGGUCCAAGUGGAAGAUAUUAUAUUCUUAGUACGGAAAGAUCAAAGGAAAUAUGCCAGAGUCAAGGACCUCCUUACUAUGAAUGAAGAACUGAAGAAAGCUAGGAAAGCUUUUGAUGAAGUUAAAUAUGUCGAAGACCAACAAUAAUGAUGAUGGCGAACAAGAGACAGCUUCUAAGGCUGAUAAUGAAGAACCAAGACAUGAUUAGUUAUGUAAUGUGAAUUUUAUAUCAAGCUGUGUUAUGCUGAAGUUGAAGCAAGAGGGUAUAUAAGGAUAGGAUCAGAUACGUCAUACGUCGGUUAGCAUAGCAA